Megachile rotundata (alfalfa leafcutting bee) is the source of this 1635-nucleotide long non-coding RNA. NCBI's taxonomy places the organism in Eukaryota, Metazoa, Arthropoda, Insecta, Hymenoptera, Megachilidae. The record is from RefSeq and is a predicted model, not a curated record.
AGAACUUGCUCUACAUUUCUUUUUAAUUAAUGAAAGCAUAAGUUGCAUUCAAUACAAUAUGUAAUCUAUAUUGUGGAACAUUUUAUUACUUUUUAGUUUGAGUGAAAUAACUGAUGUGAUUUAAGUAACUUGGAGGUGUAGGACCAACAUAAUCCCUUCUACAUUCCUGUACAUGAAUAAGGUAGAUAAAGGCAAGUUAUAGAACUUGCUCCACAUUUCUUCUUAAUUAAUGAAAGCAUAAGUUGCAUUCAAUAUAAUAUGUAAUCUAUAUUGUGGAACAUUUUAUUACUUUUUAGUUUGAGUGAAAUAACUGAUGUGAUUUAAGUAACUUGGAGGUGUAGGACUAACAUAAUCCCUUCUACAUUCCUGUACAUGAAUGAGUUUGAGUGAAAUAACUGAUGUGAUUUAAGUAACUUGGAGAUGCAGGACCAACAUAAUUCCUUCUACAUGCCUGUACAUGAAUGAGGUAGAUAAAGACAAGUUACAGAACUUGCUCUACAUUUCUUUUUAACUAAUGAAAGCAUACCUUAUAUGAAGUGUAUAUGGCUGAGACGUAUUGAAUUCAAAUGAUGCAGAGGAUGAAGAAAAAUGAAACAGAUUAAACAACCGGAAGAAUAGUUUUAGAAGAGAAUGAAGAACAUCAAGAUUAGACGAAAUCACCGUGUAGGUUUUAUGUUCGCGAAGAAUCAGGCGCUUCGUAUCGAUUAUGGCGUAACCGCGCAAACAGAAUCGGAUAUAAAGACGUUGAUAGUCGGAGACGAAAGAGAAGUUCGUUUUUCUCGGAGCAUACUGAUUUCUGUUUGCACGAUUAGAUAAACGAACGACGUAGCCUCGGCAGCUGGUGUAUGUACACUAUCGAAUAACAAAGACAAUCGAAACGGUAUGGCGCAUUACACGGUUCGCCGCUGCAAAGAUCGCUGGAGUCAUAAAGCGCGAAGCUCUUAAUUAACGAUUUCAUUCGACUCGUUGCACAUUAUUUCCUCCCUCUAAAUUGCUGGGCUAGUUUCUCGGUUCGACGCGCCAGUAUUUUAACCUCUUUAUCGCUCCGGCUGAUCUUCCAGUGGCUCGUUCCAUGCCGGAGGAGAGAGGGGAAAAAAUGGAACAAAUCCUGCGAACGGUCCUCGAUGCUUCUCGCGGUUCUCACGACCAGCCUCGAAAUAAUGAAAAGCUUUCGCGCGAUGAAUAAAGCUCUCGCGAGGAACCAGAAUCGUUUUUUGCCCCUUCUCUUUUGUCUGCGUGCUACUUUUCAUUCAUGUUUUCGCGAUUUUCCGUUCCGUCUCGCUGACGACGAAGAAACGAUGUCAAAUUCGUUGGAAACGAAGAAAUUAUUCCUGCGGAAAGGAAACUUUAACGAGUUCACCUCGAGGUUCGAGCCAUUUGCAAUUUUUCCACGGUUUGUUUGAUACACAGAGAGCCUGAAAAUUACUGAAUAUUUUCUUAAAAUUCGCUCGCGGUAAAUUUCCGAUUGUUUUACAUCGGAAUACGGUUCGGAAGCUCGAUUCAAUUUAACGAGAAUUUUCUGCGAUCACUUCUAUAGAAAUAUACAAGAAUAUAAGUAUAUAUACAUAUUGAAUUCUCAUAAAAUAACCUGUGCUUUAUUCUACGAAUAUCAUUAUAAAAAUAUUUGUAAAGGAA